RNAcentral lists this ribosomal RNA (253 nucleotides) under uncultured bacterium. RNAcentral's name for it is "partial 16S ribosomal RNA". It matches the Rfam family "Bacterial small subunit ribosomal RNA", at positions 524 to 776 of the family's 1533-position model. The record is from RNAcentral.
UACGUAGGCAGCAAGCGUUGUUCGGAGUUACUGGGCGUAAAGAGUGCGUAGGUGGUGCCCUAAGUCUGUUGUGAAAUCUCCCGGCUUAACUGGGAGGGUGCGGUGGAAACUGGGGUGCUUGAGUGUGGGAGAGGGAUGCGGAAUUCCAGGUGUAGCGGUGAAAUGCGCAGAUAUCAGGAGGAACACCGGUGGCGAAGGCGGGUCUCUGGGCCGAAAUUGACGCUGAGGAGCGAAAGCGUGGGGAGCAAACAGG